GACGAACGCUGGCGGCGUGCUUAACACAUGCAGGUCGAGCGGUAAGGCCCUUUCGGGGGUACGACGAGCGGCGAACGGGUGAGUAACACGUGGGUGACCUGCCCUCAGCUCUGGGAUAAGCCUGGGAAACCGGGUCUAAUACUGGAUAUGACUCCAUGACGCAUGUUGUGGGGUGGAAAGCCUUGUGCGGCUGAGGAUGGGCCCGCGGCCUAUCAGCUUGUUGGUGGGGUGAUGGCCUACCAAGGCGACGACGGUAGCCGGCCUGAGAGGGCGACCGGCCACACUGGGACUGAGACACGGCCCAGACUCCUACGGGA
RNAcentral lists this ribosomal RNA (317 nucleotides) under uncultured bacterium. RNAcentral describes it as "bacterial SSU rRNA". It matches the Rfam family "Bacterial small subunit ribosomal RNA", at positions 28 to 346 of the family's 1533-position model. The record is from RNAcentral.